GGUAAGAAUUGAAAUGAUGGGG
This 22-nucleotide small nuclear RNA is filed under the name Arabidopsis thaliana (thale cress). Its description in RNAcentral is "snRNA_11510". Lineage: Eukaryota; Viridiplantae; Streptophyta; Magnoliopsida; Brassicales; Brassicaceae. The record is from RNAcentral.